GUGCCAGCAGCCGCGGUAAUACGGAGGGGGUUAGCGUUGUUCGGAAUUACUGGGCGUAAAGCGUACGUAGGCGGAUUGGAAAGUAGGGGGUGAAAUCCCAGGGCUCAACCCUGGAACUGCCUCCUAAACUAACAGUCUAGAGUUCGAGAGAGGUGAGUGGAAUUCCAAGUGUAGAGGUGAAAUUCGUAGAUAUUUGGAGGAACACCAGUGGCGAAGGCGGCUCACUGGCUCGAUACUGACGCUGAGGUACGAAAGUGUGGGGAGCAAACAGGAUUAGAUACCCUGGUAGUCCACACCGUAAACGAUGAAUGCCAGACGUCGGAGGGCUUGCCUUUCGGUGUCACACCUAACGGAUUAAGCAUUCCGCCUGGGGAGUACGGUCGCAAGAUUAAAACUCAAAGGAAUUGACGGGGGCCCGCACCAGCGGUGGAGCAU
Molecule: ribosomal RNA, 435 nt
Filed under: uncultured bacterium
Lineage: Bacteria
Description: SSU rRNA
Rfam family: Bacterial small subunit ribosomal RNA
Source: RNAcentral